UUGUGACCCCAGGUCAGCGGGAUUACCCGCUGAGUUUAAGCAUAU
Molecule: ribosomal RNA, 45 nt
Filed under: Osmorhiza mexicana subsp. mexicana
Lineage: Eukaryota; Viridiplantae; Streptophyta; Magnoliopsida; Apiales; Apiaceae
Description: partial 26S ribosomal RNA
Source: RNAcentral